This 1400-nucleotide unclassified non-coding RNA is filed under the name Bactrocera latifrons. RNAcentral's name for it is "1,2-dihydroxy-3-keto-5-methylthiopentene dioxygenase, transcript variant X1". The record is from RNAcentral. Lineage: Eukaryota; Metazoa; Arthropoda; Insecta; Diptera; Tephritidae.
UUGUCAUUGAUAAAGGCAAUGCUCUUCUGAUCUUUUGAUCACAGUAUUUAGAAGUGCCGCGGUAUCAAAAUGGUGAAGGUGUGGUAUAUGGAUAAUAAAGAAAAUGACCAACGUUUGGAGCAUCAUAAAAGCCCACCCGAAUAUUUGUCACUAGAAGAUCUUCACCAGAAAACAGGCGUAGAACACUUCACUAUAAAUGCCGACAGUUAUGAAGACGAUGAAUUGUUGACUGCUAUUCGUAAAGAUCGGAAUUACUCAUACGAAGAUGAGAUAACUUGCUCUAAAUCGUGUUUACCAGACUUUGAAAAUAAGCUGAAGUCGUUCUACACCGAGCAUUUACAUACGGAUGAAGAAAUUCGACUGGUUUUGGAUGGAUCAGGAUAUUUUGAUGUCAGAGAUGCAAAAGAUGAUUGGAUUCGAAUAGCUGUUAGUAAGGGAGACUUAAUAAUUAUACCAGCCGGCAUAUAUCAUCGAUUUACCUUGGACAUAGAGGGUAAUGAUGGAGAUUUAUGCCACGAACUAUUUAGGCGUUUAUGACGCUAGGUGCUGUUAUGCACUUUCCGGAAGCGAUGUAAUGGUGUGCUUGACUCAGGUAGUGAGUGAACAAAGGAAGUAACAAGAUCUCAAUGUCUUCACUGCUCGGGAAAUAAUAAUUACGUUUCAGUAGAUGCAUCAGUCUUCCAACUUUCUGGGGUAUUUGAAGAGUAGUCAGCGACAGAUUGAAGACCUUGGUUAGAUUACCAUAGGUCGAGAAGUUAUGAUAUUUAUCAGACCACCCCUAAUGAUGAUAAUAUUAAGCGAUCUUUUACAGUUGCUCAUUAUUCUGUAGUACACCUAUGUUUCGGCGAUAUCUUGUUGGGCAACAUGGAAUCGGGGGGAUGUAUAUAUUGAAUAUAUUCGAUAUAGCUUUUGAUGAGACGAUAUUGCACUGUGCUCUAUUACAGCUACGCCUCCGCCAUUAUCCCGCUCGCGAUCCUUACGUAUAACGUUGAAACCUGCCAAAAAUCGAAUGAAAUCGCGGGGACGGUUGUUGCACUGUGGUAUUGCUUGGCGACGCUUCUUACGGGGACAAACCCCUGAAGCACUAUACAACUAAGACAACCUAACUCAAAGUCUUAAUGUCUGAGUAGAUCUUAGUAUGGCUCCAUAUAUUGCAUGUAUUGCCGCUAACAGAAGUGGAGUUAGGAUGGAGUCUUUUAGCGCAAAUGCAACAAAAAAUUUCUUGGAGACAGAGUUGGAUUCAAUGCCAGCACGGAUCGGGAGGAUGCAGGUAUUGCAAAAUCAACGGUUAUGUUUUAAGCCGAACAAAGUAAGGCCACCUUUCAGAAAAGAGUUAUAAGCAAAAUAUAAUAUUAAAAUGUGGGUAUUUGUGUUGUGCAUUUUGAGGUAUCAUCUUUCUU